ACUCCUACGGGAGGCAGCAGUGGGGAAUAUUGCACAAUGGGCGCAAGCCUGAUGCAGCGACGCCGCGUGGGGGAUGAAGGCCUUCGGGUUGUAAACUCCUUUCGCUAGGGACGAAGCUUUUUUGUGACGGUACCUAGAUAAGAAGCACCGGCUAACUACGUGCCAGCAGCCGCGGUAAUACGUAGGGUGCGAGCGUUGUCCGGAAUUACUGGGCGUAAAGGGCUCGUAGGUGGUUUGUCGCGUCGUCUGUGAAAUUCUGGGGCUUAACUCCGGGCGUGCAGGCGAUACGGGCAUAACUUGAGUGCUGUAGGGGUAACUGGAAUUCCUGGUGUAGCGGUGAAAUGCGCAGAUAUCAGGAGGAACACCGAUGGCGAAGGCAGGUUACUGGGCAGUUACUGACGCUGAGGAGCGAAAGCAUGGGUAGCGAACAGGAUUAGAUACCCCAGUAGUCCCAUGAU
RNAcentral lists this ribosomal RNA (458 nucleotides) under uncultured organism. RNAcentral's name for it is "partial 16S ribosomal RNA". It matches the Rfam family "Bacterial small subunit ribosomal RNA", at positions 335 to 801 of the family's 1533-position model. The record is from RNAcentral.